Molecule: ribosomal RNA, 314 nt
Filed under: uncultured bacterium
Lineage: Bacteria
Description: bacterial SSU rRNA
Rfam family: Bacterial small subunit ribosomal RNA
Source: RNAcentral
GAUGAACGCUAGCGACAGGCUUAACACAUGCAAGUCGAGGGGCAGCGGGGUUUUAGCUUGCUAAAACUGCCGGCGACCGGCGCACGGGUGAGUAACACGUAUGCAACCUGCCCAUUGCAGGGGGAUAAGCGGAAGAAAUUCCGUCUAAUACCGCGUAAUAUCCUUUGGAGGCAUCUUCAUAGGAUUAAAGAAAUUCGGCAAUGGAUGGGCAUGCGGCGCAUUAGCUAGUUGGCGGGGUAACGGCCCACCAAGGCGACGAUGCGUAGGGGUUCUGAGAGGAAGGUCCCCCACACUGGUACUGAGACACGGACCAG